UGAAUCGUCAUGCCUUUGCCCUGCGCCUCAAGCUACAUCCCAUUAUUAUUUAGUAUAAGCACAUGGAUGACCUCGUUAGCAUAAACAAGUGUUGUUCUACCAGCUUUCAUCAAUAAUCUAUCCUUUGCUGACGCCCAUGGUGACACCUUUUCCAGCUGAACCUUGAUGGUUUGAUUAGGCUCAGGGAAUCAUACAGCUCAGCUUCGAGAUGUUCGUUGCCGCCCAUGGGAAAAGUCCGAGUGCUCCUGACUGUAGCAGUGGAUAAGGAAGUGCUUGUGAACAAGCAAACAAUUAUAAUGGGAGAGCAAAAAGGGUCUCCACGCAGUGGCUACUGAAACCUGAAAGGAAUUCAUUAUUGGAGCCAACAACGUGUAGGUAAAAAAGAUAAAAAGAGGGAAGAAGCCGGAAAAGGGGAAAAGAAAUCAAGAAGAGGACGAUCUAUGUACGUUAACUACAAAGGAAGGAAGAUCCGCCAAUCGUACGCCGCACGGCUGCUCUUCUCGAUCGGAUCGACGGCGGGGGUGACCGUCACCCGGUGGUCCCCAGCCACGACGCCGGCACCAGCCCCCGGCGGAGCACCACCGAAUACUCCGGCAGUUCUCCGAGCCCGGCGAACAGCGAGUCCUCCUCGCCCCCCCCGCCUCCCCCCGCGGCCUGCUCCUCCAGUUCCUCGGGCAGCGCGGCCGCGGCCCCGGCGAAGAUGACCGACCCGUAGAGCAGCUCGUGGGAGUUAUCGACGGAGGGGGAGGCCGAGGGCGUGAAGCAGACGUCGGCAAACCACGGGAAGCCGCCACGCGCGUCGACCGUGAGCGCCGACUCCUCCUCUGCGAUCGGAUCGGAGAAUUUCUCGUCGCGCUCCGCGGAGUCCGGCGUGCCGGAUUGGCCCAGCUGCUCCUCGGGUCGUGCCGCGGCGUGCUUGUGGUGGUGGUUCCUGGGGACCGGCCAGGUGUGGUUGUGCUCGAAGGAGUAGGUAACCACGAUCACGGCUGGGUCGACGCGGCUCCGCUCCACCUGCUUCCUCGCCGGGCACCCCUUGGAGCUGCUGCACCUGUAGUAACCCCUGCACGUCCCGUCAAAAUCACCAGAUCGGUUUCAUCUUCUUCUCCAUCUCCCUUGUGCUUCUUUCUAGUGCCAUAUAGCUGUAAAAAAAAAAAAAGAAAAUACGUACAAACCUGGGAUAAGGUGAACCUUUAAUAGGCUUCUGGCCGUACUUCCUCCAGGUCCACGAAUCCGGUGGCGGAGCCCCCUCGCCGCCGCCCUUCGCCUCGCUGAUCGGCAUCGUCACCACCCGCUUCUGCACCGCCCGCCGGCUGUUCAUCCACGAUCCCAGUUUAAUGCCAGUAAAUCAAGAACACUAAGAAGGGCACGGAACAAGAAUCGAAUAGCUGUCGAAGGAGAAGAAGGAUCCACCAUCUCUUGGGACAUGGAGCCGAAGACCGGACGGGCUGCGAGUCGUCGGUCGAUCCAGCUGACACCGGCCUCCCAUCGUUGGCCUCGGAUGCGUCCCCGACCUCGUCCGCCUCGGAUGCGCCGGGCUCGUUGCUGCAGCUCCCGGUCAUUACGAUCCACGAAGAAGCAAAAUAAUUAAAGCUGUACCAACUAUAUGCUCCGCAGCUGAUCCUCCAAGGCAAGCACUCAAUCACUCACUUUGCUCGAACCGGACAAGAGAGCUUUGCACCAACAUGGCACAAAAGAGCUUUCUUGGGGAAUGGAUAGAGGAAGAAGAGAAACGGGGAGAGGUGAAGGGUGUUGGGUGGAGGAGCAGAUGGGGACAGGAUGCAGUUCUAGUAGUCAUCGCAGGCGCACAUCCAAGCUAUUAAAAAAGCACAUAAUGGCCGGGUCGCCUGGGCUAGACUUUGUCUACGAGUUGCUCGCCAUGACUGCACGGGGAGAGGAAGAGGAUGAAGCGAUGUGGGGGCACAUAACUCCACCUAAACUACUGAAAGAGGCCCGUCCCCACCAUCAUGCCAAUAUAUUAGUGGUAGCAGCCCCAGCCAUGCCCUUCUAUUAUUGAAGCGAUGAGAUCCGGAACAUGAGGGAGGCGAGCUUCACGAUGGCAACUUGCUUUUGCUAAUCAUCUUCUCUUUUCACAGCUAUUUCGUCUUGAGGAUAAGUUCCCCAUCUGCUAUUGGUCAGUCGGGAUGCCGUGGGACCCGGUGAAUCCAUCGCCCUCGAGUCACCUUCAUCUAGAAAGCCUGGAGUCUGGACCCUGUCUGAGCUCACACAGGUACGCAAAUCUUCCUUGCCAUUUGCCUUGGUGCAUAAGAAACUUGGCCUUUUUUUUCUUUCUUCUUCACGUCAGCGAUGGGUUUAAUUAUAAAUCAAGCGGCUCAUUCCCGCUCCCGGCCGUAUUAUUAUUAUUAUUAUUAUUAUUAUUAUGCCAACGUGGCCAGCGCUGUAUCUAUUUGACAAAAGCGACAUUUGGUAUUGUCAAGCGGAAAGUCAACGCAACUGCCGGUGCUAAAGAGCCACUUAGAUUCUAUUCAAUGAGUGGGAAGAAUCAGAUCGAUGGCUGAUGGAAGGCACCGUAUGACCUCAAUCUCUCUGAUCGGUCGUCAAGUCUAAUCGUAUCACUUCCACUUUUUGAGGUGGUUUCCGCCAAUACCUUGGAAAGUAAAUCCUACCCAAACAUGGCUUUAAUCGUACACGCAUAUCCUAAUUCCCACUUCAUUGGGCCGACACGAGAUGAGGAGCAUCCCACACGCGCGAUAGCAAUCUCUACCAAAUGGCCGCCUCGUCGCGUUAAACACGUUUCGUCGUCGUCAUGCUUCUACUUUUCCGAGAAGGAAAAGGGCAAAUACUGGAGACCCCACAAGUCUAUUCUACGUCGAUCCAAUGUUCUUCUCGUUAAUAUUUUCCUCCAUUGGUCGCUCUCUACCGUUCCGAUGUCGACACCCAUAGAUUGACUUGCUCGAGAUUUCUCAUGCACGCAUGGAUUGACUAAAACCCAUCGGAUGGGUUAGAAAACAUGUUGUUACAAGUCAUUCAAAGUAUGCAACGCCGGAAAAUAACUAUACACGAUUCCAAGUUGCUCAACUUGUGCUACGCAUGAAAUAAAAGGAACGAAUUGUUAUUUUAAUUUUGUCAUUAUAUCUCAUCUACGCGAGUUUUUCUAUCCAUACGUUAUAACAGUUAACAUUCGAUACAUAUGUCGGUCGUUAUUUUUCCUUGUUAUAUUCAAAUAAUGCGAUGGCUACAGAGCAGGGCGUAGGACCGACCUUUCGGAGUCCAAAAAACAUCUACUCCGAACUCUACCCGAAUAACUUCCUGUUACUUGUUGGCUCACACGUAACCUACUGCGGGGGCCACAUGGGAUCAUAAGGUUUUGGGGAGAGAUUCUGAGUAGACGAAACAUUAUGCGACCUUUAUUUUGUAGUACGAGUCACGUGCCAAUUGAACCGUUGUGACUUCGAAGAAGAAGCAGUCGCUCGAUUCAAACCGCGAGUGGCCUCCGCCUCCCUCCUCGGGUCCUUCAUCUCGUCGUCGUUGCUGCAGCUUCCUGUGGAGACUCCACCAUGGUCGAGGGUGACGAGGUGGUCUUCCCCACCUGGGACUCUCUUUGGUUCUUCGCCAACAUGCUUUCGCCUCCCUCUCCCGUUCCCAAGAGCGCAGAUAUAUCUUACCCAUGUGUGCAGCAAGAGAAAGACUGUACUCCCGCAGCAGAUAGAUGCCAAGAAUCAGAAGCAGGAACCACCGGACAAGCAGGAAUCAGCGAAGCAGGAGCCUACAACACCACGGAACACAGGAGGAAGCAGGGGAAGAAGAGAAGAAAUCAGAGAUUUUGCUGCAAGGAGAAGGAGCAGGUCAAGGAUUCGGAAGAACUGGAAGUGUGGUUGCGUGGACUGAGGUCGAAUGGCGGAGUGCUUACGGCGAGCCGGAGCUGCGGUCGAUUCGCGCACUGUGAUGGGAAUGUCAGGCUUCGUCGUUGCGGUAUGCCUCCUCUUGCUGAUGGCCUGGCCAUGAAGCAGCACCUCAAGUCAUGGGCUCAUGCGGUUGCCUGCGCUGUUAGAUAACUCAUUAAGACGCAGUUCCUCCUUUGAUCGAUUGUAGCAGAAUUCUUCUUCUUCUUCUUCUUCGUUGCCUGCUGCUAACUUUCUCAUUGUUGUUUGUGGCCUUCGUUGGCUUCGCUGUGCUUUGAUAAUGGUGCUGCGUCUCUCUAUUGACAUCUAUUGGCUGAUAGAA
This is a long non-coding RNA of Musa acuminata AAA Group (dessert banana), 4182 nucleotides long. RefSeq lists it as uncharacterized. The transcript is spliced from 2 exons. Lineage: Eukaryota; Viridiplantae; Streptophyta; Magnoliopsida; Zingiberales; Musaceae. The record is from RefSeq and is a predicted model, not a curated record.